RNAcentral lists this long non-coding RNA (1082 nucleotides) under Homo sapiens (human). RNAcentral describes it as "HSALNT0048237". The record is from RNAcentral. Lineage: Eukaryota; Metazoa; Chordata; Mammalia; Primates; Hominidae.
AAAAGGGCCACAAGCUAGAUGCUGCAGCUGCCUUGGGCCGGGCAAGGGCAGAACUGCCGCAGAGACAUCUGCAGAAAGUGCCGAGCUGCAAAAGGCCCCCAGAGCUCCAAGGAAGGCUUGGAAAAAAAUCCACCAUGACAAAGUGAGAUAUUCAGUAUGUCUGCUGCAGCUUGUGGUAGUGGGUAUAUGGUAUUUUCCAACAAAUUCUUGUCACACUUUGAAGGAAUCAAUCCACAAACCUCUAUGGCAUGGAGAAGCUGGCAGCCCUUGUUUUGAGGUCGUGGGGCAAGAGACACGAAGAAGCAGGUCCCUGAGCAGUACCAGUCCCAGCUGCACAUAUUUAGGCUUCUGGGCUAAGCUCUGGGUCCUGAGUGGUGGGGGUGGAUUAGGGCUUGCGUUUUUUACAUAGAUUUUUUUUUUUGUACUCUUGUGAUAUGUGGGAUACUAAAGUGCACGUCCCAGGGCUGGGCCUAGAUCUUGCCUAGAUCUGAGGUUGGUACUGGGUGCAUGAAAAACUCCUGUGAUUAUUAUUAUUAUUAUUAUCAUUAUUAUAUUUGAGACAGAGUCUCAUUCUGUCACCCAGGCUGGAGUGCAGUGGUGCGAUCUCGGCUCACUGCAGUCUCCGCCUCCUGGGUUCAAGUGAUUCUCCUGCCUCAGCCUCCUGAGUAGCUGGGACUACAAGCGUGCGUCACCAUGCCCAGCUAAAUUUUUGUAUUUUUAGUAGAGACGGAGUUUCACCAUGUUAGUCAGGAUGGUCUCGAUCUCCUGACUUUGUGAUCCACCCGCCUUGGCCUCCCAAAGUGCUGGGAUUACAGGCGUGAGCCACCGCACCUGUUCACUCCUGUGAUUAUUGAAGAAUCACCAACGGUGGAGACCUCCUCUGUGAAGGAGGGCCCGUGGCACCUCGGCCACAGCUCUAAAAUAGGGCUCAAGGCAUGACAUUGAAACUACUUGUUGCUCCUACUUGAUUUUACUUGAUUUUACUUGAUGAGUCCUCUCUACUGACACCAUGGGUUGCUGUGGUUGUGGAGGUUGUGGUGGCUGUGGUGGCUGCGGUGGUGGCUGUGGUGGUGGCUGUGGCA